RNAcentral lists this transfer RNA (84 nucleotides) under Candidatus Thorarchaeota archaeon. Its description in RNAcentral is "tRNA-Ser". It matches the Rfam family "tRNA". Rfam says of the family: Transfer RNA (tRNA) molecules are approximately 80 nucleotides in length. Their secondary structure includes four short double-helical elements and three loops (D, anti-codon, and T loops). Lineage: Archaea; Promethearchaeati; Candidatus Thorarchaeota. RNAcentral also lists the same sequence under 1 other name. The record is from RNAcentral.
GCCGGGGUUGCCGAGUCUGGUAAAGGCGGGGGCCUCGAGAGCCUCUGGCGUUAUGCCACGCGGGUUCAAAUCCUGCCCCCGGCA